AAAAAACUUACGAAAUGAUAUGAUUUACUAUGAAAGACACUCAAUCUUUUAUACAUAUGGGAACCUCGUGGGUGCACCAAAAAGGAAUAAGAGAUAGAAGGUUAUUCCUCAAGUGUACAAAACCAUCUCUACUCCAUCAAAAGCGCUCCAAAUCUUCUCUGUUCAUACAGUCCAUAAGUACAGAGGAGCAGCAUGCCAUAACCUGUGUCUCCUCCGUCUUCUAAAGGUCCAACUAAAUAUUGUUUCUUUCAUAGCAUUACUCACUCCAUCACAGGAUUUCCCACCUCAACUAAGACGCUAUUCGACAAAGUAAAUGGAAGUGAUUCACAUCUUUCCCUGAGUUUUUACACAUGAAGCGCCAACCAACAAAUAAACUUCUUCUUCCCCAAGUUCUCCACCGUGAAGAUUAACCCCACACGCAGCUAGCCAAGUGAAAACAUACACCUUUCUCGACUCCUCCAUAGUAAUAAGCUUCUCAUAAUAGGACUUACAUAGAAAUAGAGGAGCAACAUCCCAUACCCUGUGUCCUCUGUCUUCUAAAGGUCCAACAAAACACUGUU
Molecule: long non-coding RNA, 560 nt
Filed under: Nicotiana benthamiana
Lineage: Eukaryota; Viridiplantae; Streptophyta; Magnoliopsida; Solanales; Solanaceae
Description: long non-coding RNA (NBEN_LNC020352)
Source: RNAcentral